Long non-coding RNA from Taeniopygia guttata (zebra finch), 748 nucleotides. The record is from Ensembl. Lineage: Eukaryota; Metazoa; Chordata; Aves; Passeriformes; Estrildidae.
AUUCAAUCAGGUUUUAGAUUUUGUAAAAUCAAAUCUAAAACUAAAGAAAAUACCCACCCUUUCAGUUCAAAGCAUGAACAGGUUGAAUAGACAUGGCUGAGGUAGUUUUAAGGUAGUGAGCAUCUGUAGUCCUAGGAGUAUACUGAAAGGCAGAGUUAAUAAUGUUUUUGGAGAAGGCACACAUGGAGUCUAUUAUGGUUCUGGCAGCACAGACAGUAGUGUCAAGGCCAGCUUGUUAACAGCUGCCUCAGGAAGAGCUACACAGCUGUCCUGACAGCACUGCAGUGUAGAUACAGAAUGCACACCUGGACUCAACCCAAAGAGCUGUGAGUUGUCCUUUUCCCUUCAAAUAAAGAAUUGUUCCACCGUAAAACCUCUUACAAUGGAUUUUUCUACAUCUUUGGUCAUAAUGAGGUGCAACAAGACUAAAAACAAAGCAGAAAACCUUUGUGGGCCUGAUAUUGCUCCCUUCAAGCCUGAUUUUGAUGCAACUCUGCCACUGACUUCAGCUGGGCUACAUCAGGAGCCGAGGAUCUCUUGACCCAAAACCACAAUCCUGCUGGCAGCUGCUACUACCGGAGGUAAGACGUCUUCAAGGCAUGACAUCAAGGAGUACUGCAGAAAAUAGAAGCAAAUCCUAAAGGCUGCCUGUGUCUAUAUAAUAUGUUUAUUUAAUUGAUACGCUCUCAGCUUUCCUUAAUAGAAAUUGUCAGAAGCAUCCAACAGACAAGAGUUCUGCCAGUCUCUU